GAUGAAGAACGCAGCGAAAUGCGAUAAGUAAUGUGAAUUGCAGAAUUCAGUGAAUCAUCGAAUCUUUGAACGCACAUUGCGCCCGCCAGUAUUCUGGCGGGCAUGCCUGUUCGAGCGUCAUUACAACCCUCAGGCCCCCGGGCCUGGCGUUGGGGAUCGGCGGAGCCCCCCGUGGGCACACGCCGUCCCCCAAAUGCAGUGGCGGUCCCGCCGCAGCUUCCAUCGCGUAGUAGCUAACACCUCGCGACUGGAGAGCGGCGCGGCCACGCCGUAAAACACCCAACUCUUCUGAAGUUGACCUCGAAUCAGGUAGGAAUACCCGCUGAACUUAAGCAUAUCAAUAAGCGGAA
This 350-nucleotide unclassified non-coding RNA is filed under the name soil metagenome. RNAcentral describes it as "partial contains 5.8S ribosomal RNA, internal transcribed spacer 2, and large subunit ribosomal RNA". The stretch from base 1 to 120 matches the Rfam family "5.8S ribosomal RNA", at positions 35 to 154 of the family's 154-position model. The record is from RNAcentral.